This 162-nucleotide ribosomal RNA is filed under the name Acer campestre (hedge maple). RNAcentral describes it as "5.8S ribosomal RNA". It matches the Rfam family "5.8S ribosomal RNA". From Rfam's summary of the family: 5.8S ribosomal RNA (5.8S rRNA) is a component of the large subunit of the eukaryotic ribosome. It is transcribed by RNA polymerase I as part of the 45S precursor that also contains 18S and 28S rRNA. Lineage: Eukaryota; Viridiplantae; Streptophyta; Magnoliopsida; Sapindales; Sapindaceae. The record is from RNAcentral.
AAAACGACUCUCGGCAACGGAUAUCUCGGCUCUCGCAUCGAUGAAGAACGUAGCGAAAUGCGAUACUUGGUGUGAAUUGCAGAAUCCCGUGAACCAUCGAGUCUUUGAACGCAAGUUGCGCCCCAAGCCGUUAGGCCGAGGGCACGUCUGCCUGGGUGUCAC